GUCGAGCGGGCGAGGUUGCUUCGGUAACUGAGCUAGCGGCGGACGGGUGAGUAAUGCUUAGGAAUCUGCCUAUUAGUGGGGGACAACAUUCCGAAAGGAAUGCUAAUACCGCAUACGCCCUACGGGGGAAAGCAGGGGAUCUUCGGACCUUGCGCUAAUAGAUGAGCCUAAGUUAGAUUAGCUAGUUGGUGGGGUAAAGGCCUACCAAGGCGACGAUCUGUAGCGGGUCUGAGAGGAUGAUCCGCCACACUGGGACUGAGACACGGCCCAGACUCCUACGGGAGGCAGCAGUGGGGAAUAUUGGACAAUGGGCGAAAGCCUGAUCCAGCCAUGCCGCGUGUGUGAAGAAGGCCUUUUGGUUGUAAAGCACUUUAAGCGAGGAGGAGGCUACCGAGAUUAAUACUCUUGGAUAGUGGACGUUACUCGCAGAAUAAGCACCGGCUAACUCUGUGCCAGCAGCCGCGGUAAUACAGAGGGUGCGAGCGUUAAUCGGAUUUACUGGGCGUAAAGCGUGCGUAGGCGGCUUCUUAAGUCGGAUGUGAAAUCCCUGAGCUUAACUUAGGAAUUGCAUUCGAUACUGGGAAGCUAGAGUAUGGGAGAGGAUGGUAGAAUUCCAGGUGUAGCGGUGAAAUGCGUAGAGAUCUGGA
This 647-nucleotide ribosomal RNA is filed under the name uncultured Pseudomonadota bacterium. RNAcentral's name for it is "bacterial SSU rRNA". It matches the Rfam family "Bacterial small subunit ribosomal RNA", at positions 61 to 702 of the family's 1533-position model. The record is from RNAcentral. Lineage: Bacteria; Pseudomonadati; Pseudomonadota.